RNAcentral lists this ribosomal RNA (253 nucleotides) under uncultured bacterium. RNAcentral's name for it is "partial 16S ribosomal RNA". It matches the Rfam family "Bacterial small subunit ribosomal RNA", at positions 524 to 776 of the family's 1533-position model. The record is from RNAcentral.
UACGUAGGGCGCAAGCGUUGUCCGGAAUUAUUGGGCGUAAAGAGCUCGUAGGCGGUCUGUCGCGUCUGGUGUGAAAUCCCAUGGCUCAACUGUGGGCUUGCAUCGGGUACGGGCAGACUAGAGUGCUGUAGGGGAGACUGGAAUUCCUGGUGUAGCGGUGAAAUGCAUAGAUAUGUCACAGAACACCGAUUGCGAAGGCGGGUCUCUGGGCCGAUACUGACGCUGAGGAGCGAAAGCGUGGGGAGCGAACAGG